This 253-nucleotide ribosomal RNA is filed under the name uncultured bacterium. RNAcentral describes it as "partial 16S ribosomal RNA". It matches the Rfam family "Archaeal small subunit ribosomal RNA", at positions 474 to 727 of the family's 1478-position model. The record is from RNAcentral.
UACCAGCACCCCGAGUGGUCGGGAUGAUUAUUUGGCCUAAAGCAUCCGUAGCCGGCGCAGCAAGUCUUCCGUUAAAUCCACCUGCUCAACAGAUGGGCUGCGGGAGAUACUGCUGCGCUAGGAGGCGGGAGAGGCGAGGGGUAUUCCAUGGGUAGGGGUAAAAUCCUCUGAUCCAUGGAGGACCACCAGUGGCGAAGGCGUCUCGCCAGAACGCGCUCGACGGUGAGGGAUGAAAGCUGGGGGAGCAAACCGG